CCUACGGGAGGCAGCAGUGGGGAAUAUUGCGCAAUGGGCGAAAGCCUGACGCAGCGACGCCGCGUGAGGGAUGAAGGUCUUCGGAUCGUAAACCUCUGUCAGCGGGGAAGAACGGUCACUGUGCUAAUCAGCAGUGAAUUGACGGUACCUGCAGAGGAAGCACCGGCUAACUCCGUGCCAGCAGCCGCGGUAAUACGGAGGGUGCGAGCGUUAAUCGGAAUUACUGGGCGUAAAGCGCUCGUAGGCGGUAUGUCAAGUCAAGGGUGAAAUCCCCGCGCUCAACGUGGGAACUGCCUUUGAAACUGGCAAACUUGAGUGUGUUAGAGGAUAGUGGAAUUCCAGGUGUAGGAGUGAAAUCCGUAGAGAUCUGGAGGAAUACCAGUGGCGAAGGCGACCAUCUGGCACAUAACUGACGCUGAGGAGCGAAAGCGUGGGUAGCAAACAGGAUUAGAUACCCGAGUAGUC
This 465-nucleotide ribosomal RNA is filed under the name uncultured bacterium. RNAcentral's name for it is "partial 16S ribosomal RNA". It matches the Rfam family "Bacterial small subunit ribosomal RNA", at positions 338 to 795 of the family's 1533-position model. The record is from RNAcentral.